RNAcentral lists this long non-coding RNA (227 nucleotides) under Elaeis guineensis (African oil palm). RNAcentral describes it as "long non-coding RNA (EGUI_LNC059777)". Lineage: Eukaryota; Viridiplantae; Streptophyta; Magnoliopsida; Arecales; Arecaceae. The record is from RNAcentral.
UCAGAGAGUGGUGGAGCCAUGUGAAAUCCGUUACAGAGAGUGGAGUGGGGCAGUGGCCAUUGUCGUGACUUGCUAGAGAGUUUGGACCUGACGACUGAAGCUCGGUUGGGACGUCUAAUGGAGCAGAAUGGCUCUCUGUCUCAGCAAUCUGAGAGGAGCUCGGAUGUUUUCGAGGUUACUGAUGGGUUAACUGUUGUUGGAUGCCGUUGGUGCUGCAAAUGGAAGUC